CGGGACGGGUGAGUAAUGCUUGGGAAUCUAGCUUAUGGAGGGGGAUAACUACGGGAAACUGUAGCUAAUACCGCGUAGUAUCGGAAGAUGAAAGUGUGGGACCUUCGGGCCACAUGCCAUAGGAUGAGCCCAAGUGGGAUUAGGUAGUUGGUGAGGUAAAGGCUCACCAAGCCGACGAUCUCUAGCUGGUCUGAGGGGAUGACCAGCCACACUGGGACUGAGACACGGCCCAG
RNAcentral lists this ribosomal RNA (233 nucleotides) under uncultured bacterium. Its description in RNAcentral is "partial 16S ribosomal RNA". It matches the Rfam family "Bacterial small subunit ribosomal RNA", at positions 100 to 334 of the family's 1533-position model. The record is from RNAcentral.